Molecule: unclassified non-coding RNA, 337 nt
Filed under: soil metagenome
Description: partial contains 5.8S ribosomal RNA, internal transcribed spacer 2, and large subunit ribosomal RNA
Rfam family: 5.8S ribosomal RNA (bases 1-120)
Source: RNAcentral
GAUGAAGAACGCAGUGAAAUGCGAUAAGUAGUGUGAAUUGCAGAAUUCAGUGAAUCAUCGAAUCUUAGAACGCACAUUGCGCCCCUUGGUAUUCCAUGGGGCAUGCCUGUUCGAGCGUCAUUUGUACCCUCCAGCCCUGCUGGGUGUUGGGCGUUUUGUUCCGCCGCGCGCGUGAACUCGCCUCAAAUGCAUUGGCAGCCAGCCGUCCCGCGUGGGAGCGCAGCACAUUUUGCGCUCUCCGCUGGGUGCGGCGGCGUCCACAAGCCUAUACCUUUACGCUUGACCUCGGAUCAGGUAGGGAUACCCGCUGAACUUAAGCAUAUCAAUAAGCGGAGGA